Transfer RNA from Chaetomium globosum CBS 148.51, 105 nucleotides. It matches the Rfam family "tRNA". Rfam says of the family: Transfer RNA (tRNA) molecules are approximately 80 nucleotides in length. Their secondary structure includes four short double-helical elements and three loops (D, anti-codon, and T loops). Further hydrogen bonds mediate the characteristic L-shaped molecular structure. tRNAs have two regions of fundamental functional importance: the anti-codon, which is responsible for specific mRNA codon recognition, and the 3' end, to which the tRNAs corresponding amino acid is attached (by aminoacyl-tRNA synthetases). tRNAs cope with the degeneracy of the genetic code in two manners: having more than one tRNA (with a specific anti-codon) for a particular amino acid; and 'wobble' base-pairing, i.e. permitting non-standard base-pairing at the 3rd anti-codon position. Lineage: Eukaryota; Fungi; Ascomycota; Sordariomycetes; Sordariales; Chaetomiaceae. The record is from Rfam.
GGGAGCUUGGCUCAGUUGGAAGAGCGCAGGUCUCAUACCCUUGUAUGAUUCGGUGUGAACAUCGAAACAAUCCUGAGGUCGUGAGUUCGAGCCUCACAGUUCCCA